Molecule: non-coding RNA, 116 nt
Organism: Triticum aestivum (bread wheat)
Lineage: Eukaryota; Viridiplantae; Streptophyta; Magnoliopsida; Poales; Poaceae
Source: Rfam
UCUUGGCUUAGUUAGGAGGCGCAUAUGAAAUGAGCAUCUGAUGCUCAUCCAGGCCUUUUGAGGGGGCAACUCAUCUGUGUUAACUAGAUGUGCUCCCCAAGCAGCCCGAGACAUUU